UUUUGUUCCAUCAUUGUAUUUUUCGUUCUGUUGUUGCUUUUUUCUCUCUCUCCAAACGCAUUCUAUUGCUCACAAGUGAUCGAAAAAAAGGAGGUGACAAGAAAGGAGAGAGAUCUGUGAGAACAUAGAAGAAAGGAAACACACACACAGCGAGAAAAAAAUUCUUCGGUCUAAAUCGAAACGGGAUUAACCGGGGGGGUGAAAGAUAAAAAUAGCAAACAAACUGCCUUCGAUAUU
Molecule: non-coding RNA, 237 nt
Filed under: Protocruzia adhaerens
Lineage: Eukaryota; Ciliophora; Spirotrichea
Source: RNAcentral